GGAUUCAGGGGGUUUUUAGGGGGAUUUUGGGGUUUUUAGGGGGAUUUUGGGGUUUUUAGGGGAAUUUUGGGGGUUUUAUGAGGAUUUUGGGUUUUUUUAGGGGAAUUUUGGGGUUUUUAGGGGGAUUUUGGUUUUUUUGGUGGGGAUUUUGGUGUUUUUAAGGGGAUUUUGGGGUUUUUAGGGGGAUAUAUUUUUGGGGGGGGGGGGUUUAGGGGGUGUUUGGUGGGACUUUGGGAUUUUACUGGGAUUUGGGGACACCCAAGUUCACUUUUGGGACAUUUUGGGGUCGUCUCACCCUUUUUCCCCCCUCAGGCUCGUCUGGAAUUCCUGCGGGAGCAGCUCCAGGUCCGCGAGGGAGAAUUCCUGACCUUCGACGCGAUGCGGCACGCGGCGCAGUGCGUGGGGAGAGCCCUGAGGGGAAAAUCCGAUUACGGCCUCAUGGUGUUCGCUGACAAGGUGGGAACCCAAAUUUGGGCCACUUUGGGGCACUUUGGGUCACUUUGGGUCACUUUGGGUCACUUUGGGGCGGCGCAGUGCGUGGGGAGAGCCCUGAGGGGAAAAUCCGAUUACGGCCUCGUGGUGUUCGCUGACAAGGUGGGAACCCAAAUUUGGGGCACUUUGGGUCACUUUGGGUCACUUUGGGUCACUUUGGGUCGUUUUGGGGCACUUUGGGUCAGUUUUGGGUCACUUUGGGUCACUUUGGGUCAGUU
RNAcentral lists this long non-coding RNA (710 nucleotides) under Chloebia gouldiae (Gouldian finch). RNAcentral describes it as "Erythrura gouldiae (Gouldian finch) lncRNA (ENSEGOG00005011124.1)". Lineage: Eukaryota; Metazoa; Chordata; Aves; Passeriformes; Passeridae. The record is from RNAcentral.